CCUACGGGUGGCAGCAGUGGGGAAUAUUGGGCAAUGGGCGCAAGCCUGACCCAGCAACGCCGCGUGAAGGAAGAAGGCUUUCGGGUUGUAAACUUCUUUUAAGAGGGAAGAGCAGAAGACGGUACCUCUUGAAUAAGCCACGGCUAACUACGUGCCAGCAGCCGCGGUAAUACGUAGGUGGCAAGCGUUGUCCGGAUUUACUGGGUGUAAAGGGCGUGUAGCCGGGCUGACAAGUCAGAUGUGAAAUUCCGGGGCUCAACCCCGGACCUGCAUUUGAAACUGUUGGUCUUGAGUAUCGGAGAGGCAGGCGGAAUUCCUAGUGUAGCGGUGAAAUGCGUAGAUAUUAGGAGGAACACCAGUGGCGAAGGCGGCCUGCUGGGCUUUUACUGACGCUGAGGCUCGAAAGUGUGGGGAGCAAACAGGAUUAGAUACCCCAGUAGUC
RNAcentral lists this ribosomal RNA (442 nucleotides) under uncultured bacterium. Its description in RNAcentral is "partial 16S ribosomal RNA". It matches the Rfam family "Bacterial small subunit ribosomal RNA", at positions 338 to 795 of the family's 1533-position model. The record is from RNAcentral.